AUGGUUUUGUUCGUUCUCAUCAUCUUUAGGCCUUGUUUGGUUAAUCGUCCUCCCAAGGGGAUUGGAGAGGAUUGGAGGGGAUUUAAUCCACCUCAACCCUUGCCAAUCCCCUUCAAAUCCACCUCAAACCGAACAAAGACUAAAGGAAUUGCAGACGAGCACAUGGGUUCACACUUGGGAGCUUUUACAUCCUCUCCUAUUCCACAUCAGUCUUCCAAUUUGCCGAUGCAGAAAUCCUCAAUGAUGUCGAAGACUCAUGUGCCAUGCUGCAGGCUGAAAUUGCGUCAAGUUAGUAUAGUUAUGUGA
Molecule: ribosomal RNA, 306 nt
Filed under: Triticum aestivum (bread wheat)
Lineage: Eukaryota; Viridiplantae; Streptophyta; Magnoliopsida; Poales; Poaceae
Description: partial small subunit ribosomal RNA
Source: RNAcentral